GAUGAAGAACGUAGCAAAAUGCGAUAAGUAAUGUGAAUUGCAGAAUUCAGUGAAUCAUCGAAUCUUUGAACGGACAUUGCGCCCGCCAGUAUUCUGGCGGGCAUGCCUGUUCGAGCGUCAUUUCAACCCUCAAGCACAGCUUGGUGUUGGGACUCGCGUUAAUUCGCGUUCCUCAAAUUGAUUGGCGGUCACGUCGAGCUUCCAUAGCGUAGUAGUAAAACCCUCGUUACUGGUAAUCGUCGCGGCCACGCCGUUAAACCCCAACUUCUGAAUGUUGACCUCGGAUCAGGUAGGAAUACCCGCUGAACUUAAGCAUAUCAAUAAGCGGAGGA
This 332-nucleotide unclassified non-coding RNA is filed under the name soil metagenome. RNAcentral's name for it is "partial contains 5.8S ribosomal RNA, internal transcribed spacer 2, and large subunit ribosomal RNA". The stretch from base 1 to 120 matches the Rfam family "5.8S ribosomal RNA", at positions 35 to 154 of the family's 154-position model. The record is from RNAcentral.